CGGAGGUGCAAGCGUUAUCCGGAUUUAUUGGGUUUAAAGGGUCCGUAGGCGGAUUGGUAAGUCAGUGGUGAAUCUCAUAGCUUAACUAUGAACUGCCAUUGAUACUGCUAGUCUUGAGUGUAUUUGAAGUAGCUGGAAUGAGUAGUGUAGCGGUGAAAUGCAUAGAUAUUACUCAGAACACCAAUUUGCGAAGGCAGGUUACUAAGAUACAACUGACGCUGAUGGACGAAAGCGUGGGAGCGAACAGGAUU
This 251-nucleotide ribosomal RNA is filed under the name uncultured bacterium. RNAcentral's name for it is "partial 16S ribosomal RNA". It matches the Rfam family "Bacterial small subunit ribosomal RNA", at positions 527 to 779 of the family's 1533-position model. The record is from RNAcentral.